Strongylocentrotus purpuratus (purple sea urchin) is the source of this 46-nucleotide non-coding RNA. The record is from Rfam. NCBI's taxonomy places the organism in Eukaryota, Metazoa, Echinodermata, Echinoidea, Camarodonta, Strongylocentrotidae.
CCAACAGUCCUUUUCAGGACUACACACACACACUCAAGAAAGAAAG